UUAAGCGACUAAGCGUACACGGUGGAUGCCCUGGCAGUCAGAGGCGAUGAAGGACGUGCUAAUCUGCGAUAAGCGUCGGUAAGGUGAUAUGAACCGUUAUAACCGGCGAUUUCCGAAUGGGGAAACCCAGUGUGAUUCGUCACACUAUCAUUAACUGAAUCCAUAGGUUAAUGAGGCGAACCGGGGGAACUGAAACAUCUAAGUACCCCGAGGAAAAGAAAUCAACCGAGAUUCCCCCAGUAGCGGCGAGCGAACGGGGAGCAGCCCAGAGCCUGAAUCAGUGUGUGUGUUAGUGGAAGCGUCUGGAAAGGCGCGCGAUACAGGGUGACAGCCCCGUACACAAAAAUGCACAUACUGUGAGCUCGAUGAGUAGGGCGGGACACGUGGUAUCCUGUCUGAAUAUGGGGGGACCAUCCUCCAAGGCUAAAUACUCCUGACUGACCGAUAGUGAACCAGUACCGUGAGGGAAAGGCGAAAAGAACCCCGGCGAGGGGAGUGAAAAAGAACCUGAAACCGUGUACGUACAAGCAGUGGGAGCACGCUUAGGCGUGUGACUGCGUACCUUUUGUAUAAUGGGUCAGCGACUUAUAUUCUGUAGCAAGGUUAACCGAAUAGGGGAGCCGAAGGGAAACCGAGUCUUAACUGGGCGUUAAGUUGCAGGGUAUAGACCCGAAACCCGGUGAUCUAGCCAUGGGCAGGUUGAAGGUUGGGUAACACUAACUGGAGGACCGAACCGACUAAUGUUGAAAAAUUAGCGGAUGACUUGUGGCUGGGGGUGAAAGGCCAAUCAAACCGGGAGAUAGCUGGUUCUCCCCGAAAGCUAUUUAGGUAGCGCCUCGUGAAUUCAUCUCCGGGGGUAGAGCACUGUUUCGGCAAGGGGGUCAUCCCGACUUACCAACCCGAUGCAAACUGCGAAUACCGGAGAAUGUUAUCACGGGAGACACACGGCGGGUGCUAACGUCCGUCGUGAAGAGGGAAACAACCCAGACCGCCAGCUAAGGUCCCAAAGUCAUGGUUAAGUGGGAAACGAUGUGGGAAGGCCCAGACAGCCAGGAUGUUGGCUUAGAAGCAGCCAUCAUUUAAAGAAAGCGUAAUAGCUCACUGGUCGAGUCGGCCUGCGCGGAAGAUGUAACGGGGCUAAACCAUGCACCGAAGCUGCGGCAGCGACGCUGAUGCGUUGUUGGGUAGGGGAGCGUUCUGUAAGCCUGCGAAGGUGUGCUGUGAGGCAUGCUGGAGGUAUCAGAAGUGCGAAUGCUGACAUAAGUAACGAUAAAGCGGGUGAAAAGCCCGCUCGCCGGAAGACCAAGGGUUCCUGUCCAACGUUAAUCGGGGCAGGGUGAGUCGACCCCUAAGGCGAGGCCGAAAGGCGUAGUCGAUGGGAAACAGGUUAAUAUUCCUGUACUUGGUGUUACUGCGAAGGGGGGACGGAGAAGGCUAUGUUGGCCGGGCGACGGUUGUCCCGGUUUAAGCGUGUAGGCUGGUUUUCCAGGCAAAUCCGGAAAAUCAAGGCUGAGGCGUGAUGACGAGGCACUACGGUGCUGAAGCAACAAAUGCCCUGCUUCCAGGAAAAGCCUCUAAGCAUCAGGUAACAUCAAAUCGUACCCCAAACCGACACAGGUGGUCAGGUAGAGAAUACCAAGGCGCUUGAGAGAACUCGGGUGAAGGAACUAGGCAAAAUGGUGCCGUAACUUCGGGAGAAGGCACGCUGAUAUGUAGGUGAGGUCCCUCGCGGAUGGAGCUGAAAUCAGUCGAAGAUACCAGCUGGCUGCAACUGUUUAUUAAAAACACAGCACUGUGCAAACACGAAAGUGGACGUAUACGGUGUGACGCCUGCCCGGUGCCGGAAGGUUAAUUGAUGGGGUCAGCGCAAGCGAAGCUCUUGAUCGAAGCCCCGGUAAACGGCGGCCGUAACUAUAACGGUCCUAAGGUAGCGAAAUUCCUUGUCGGGUAAGUUCCGACCUGCACGAAUGGCGUAAUGAUGGCCAGGCUGUCUCCACCCGAGACUCAGUGAAAUUGAACUCGCUGUGAAGAUGCAGUGUACCCGCGGCAAGACGGAAAGACCCCGUGAACCUUUACUAUAGCUUGACACUGAACAUUGAGCCUUGAUGUGUAGGAUAGGUGGGAGGCUUUGAAGUGUGGACGCCAGUCUGCAUGGAGCCGACCUUGAAAUACCACCCUUUAAUGUUUGAUGUUCUAACGUUGACCCGUGAUCCGGGUUGCGGACAGUGUCUGGUGGGUAGUUUGACUGGGGCGGUCUCCUCCUAAAGAGUAACGGAGGAGCACGAAGGUUGGCUAAUCCUGGUCGGACAUCAGGAGGUUAGUGCAAUGGCAUAAGCCAGCUUGACUGCGAGCGUGACGGCGCGAGCAGGUGCGAAAGCAGGUCAUAGUGAUCCGGUGGUUCUGAAUGGAAGGGCCAUCGCUCAACGGAUAAAAGGUACUCCGGGGAUAACAGGCUGAUACCGCCCAAGAGUUCAUAUCGACGGCGGUGUUUGGCACCUCGAUGUCGGCUCAUCACAUCCUGGGGCUGAAGUAGGUCCCAAGGGUAUGGCUGUUCGCCAUUUAAAGUGGUACGCGAGCUGGGUUUAGAACGUCGUGAGACAGUUCGGUCCCUAUCUGCCGUGGGCGCUGGAGAACUGAGGGGGGCUGCUCCUAGUACGAGAGGACCGGAGUGGACGCAUCACUGGUGUUCGGGUUGUCAUGCCAAUGGCACUGCCCGGUAGCUAAAUGCGGAAGAGAUAAGUGCUGAAAGCAUCUAAGCACGAAACUUGCCCCGAGAUGAGUUCUCCCUGACUCCUUGAGAGUCCUGAAGGAACGUUGAAGACGACGACGUUGAUAGGCCGGGUGUGUAAGCGCAGCGAUGCGUUGAGCUAACCGGUACUAAUGAACCGUGAGGCUUAACCUU
RNAcentral lists this ribosomal RNA (2902 nucleotides) under Escherichia coli. RNAcentral describes it as "23S ribosomal RNA". It matches the Rfam family "Bacterial large subunit ribosomal RNA". The record is from RNAcentral. Lineage: Bacteria; Pseudomonadati; Pseudomonadota; Gammaproteobacteria; Enterobacterales; Enterobacteriaceae.